RNAcentral lists this non-coding RNA (128 nucleotides) under Perkinsus marinus ATCC 50983. RNAcentral describes it as "Eukaryotic small subunit ribosomal RNA". It matches the Rfam family "Eukaryotic small subunit ribosomal RNA", at positions 1 to 131 of the family's 1831-position model. Lineage: Eukaryota; Perkinsozoa; Perkinsida; Perkinsidae. The record is from Rfam by way of RNAcentral.
CACCUGGUUGAUCCUGCCAGUAGUCAUAUGCUUGUCUCAAAGAUUAAGCCAUGCAUGUCUAAGUAUAAGCUUUAAACGGCGAAACUGCGAAUGGCUCAUAAAACAGUUAUAGUUUAUUUGGGAUCGAU